CCCCCCUCCCACCCAAAGAAAAAGAAAUGGUAACUACCUGGACAAAACAUUUCACGUGCAUUGUUUUAGUAAACAGACACAACCUUGGCUUCAGGUCUUUUUUGUUUUCUGUCACCCAGGCGGAGUUUGCAGUGAGCUGACAUCGCAUCACUGCACUCCAGCCUGGGUGACAGAGCAAUACUCCAUCUCGA
Molecule: long non-coding RNA, 191 nt
Organism: Homo sapiens (human)
Lineage: Eukaryota; Metazoa; Chordata; Mammalia; Primates; Hominidae
Source: Ensembl